Molecule: ribosomal RNA, 292 nt
Filed under: uncultured bacterium
Lineage: Bacteria
Description: partial 16S ribosomal RNA
Rfam family: Bacterial small subunit ribosomal RNA
Source: RNAcentral
GUGCCAGCCGCCGCGGUAAAACGUAGGAGGCAAGCGUUAUCCGGAUUUACUGGGCGUAAAGCGCGUGUAGGCGGCCCGGUCAGUCGGACGUGAAAUCUCCUGGCUCAACUGGGAGGGGCCGUUCGACACUACCGGGCUUGAGGGCAAGAGAGGGAGGUGGAAUUCCGGGUGUAGCGGUGAAAUGCGUAGAUAUCCGGAGGAACACCUGUGGCGAAAGCGGCCUCCUGGCUUGCCCCUGACGCUCAGACGCGAAAGCUAGGGGAGCGAACGGGAUUAGAUACCCCUGUAGUCC